RNAcentral lists this non-coding RNA (29 nucleotides) under Mus musculus (house mouse). The record is from RNAcentral. Lineage: Eukaryota; Metazoa; Chordata; Mammalia; Rodentia; Muridae.
UCCCUAGACCUCGGCCUAGCAGUCUUGCU